RNAcentral lists this microRNA precursor (79 nucleotides) under Brachionus plicatilis. Its description in RNAcentral is "Bpl-Mir-190_pre stem-loop". The record is from RNAcentral. Lineage: Eukaryota; Metazoa; Rotifera; Eurotatoria; Ploima; Brachionidae.
UGAUAUGUUGGAUAUUUGGUUGUAUAUUAAACUGUUUUUUGGCAUUAAACCACUCAACCGAAUAUCGAACCUAUCUGAA